RNAcentral lists this ribosomal RNA (492 nucleotides) under uncultured bacterium. RNAcentral's name for it is "partial 16S ribosomal RNA". It matches the Rfam family "Bacterial small subunit ribosomal RNA", at positions 29 to 507 of the family's 1533-position model. The record is from RNAcentral.
AGUGAACGCUGGCGGUAGGCCUAACACAUGCAAGUCGAACGGCAGCACAGUAAGCGCUUGCUCUUACGGGUGGCGAGUGGCGGACGGGUGAGGAAUACAUCGGCAUCUACUUUUUCGUGGGGGAUAACGUAGGGAAACUUACGCUAAUACCGCAUACGACCUACGGGUGAAAGCAGGGGAUCUUCGGACCUUGCGCGAUUGAAUGAGCCGAUGUCGGAUUAGCUAGUUGGCGGGGUAAAGGCCCACCAAGGCGACGAUCCGUAGCUGGUCUGAGAGGAUGAUCAGCCACACUGGAACUGAGACACGGUCCAGACUCCUACGGGAGGCAGCAGUGGGGAAUAUUGGACAAUGGGCACAAGCCUGAUCCAGCCAUACCGCGUGGGUGAAGAAGGCCUUCGGGUUGUAAAGCCCUUUUGUUGGGAAAGAAAAGCAGCAGGUUAAUACCCCGCUGUUCUGACGGUACCCAAAGAAUAAGCACCGGCUAACUUCGUG